This is a non-coding RNA of Verrucomicrobia bacterium 13_2_20CM_2_54_15, 77 nucleotides long. NCBI's taxonomy places the organism in Bacteria, Pseudomonadati, Verrucomicrobiota. The record is from Rfam.
UCCGCUCAAGGCAAUGGAGUUUGCCGUCCCACCUGAAGGCUGGGAAAACCGCGCGAGCUAAUGACUCCUUCCAAACG